Molecule: ribosomal RNA, 490 nt
Filed under: uncultured bacterium
Lineage: Bacteria
Description: partial 16S ribosomal RNA
Rfam family: Bacterial small subunit ribosomal RNA
Source: RNAcentral
AUUGAACGCUGGCGGCAGGCCUAACACAUGCAAGUCGAACGGUAACAGGAAACAGCUUGCUGUUUCGCUGACGAGUGGCGGACGGGUGAGUAAUGUCUGGGAAACUGCCUGAUGGAGGGGGAUAACUACUGGAAACGGUAGCUAAUACCGCAUAACGUCGCAAGACCAAAGAGGGGGACCUUCGGGCCUCUUGCCAUCGGAUGUGCCCAGAUGGGAUUAGCUAGUAGGUGGGGUAACGGCUCACCUAGGCGACGAUCCCUAGCUGGUCUGAGAGGAUGACAAGCCACACUGGAACUGAGACACGGUCCAGACUCCUACGGGAGGCAGCAGUGGGGAAUAUUGGACAAUGGGCGCAAGCCUGAUGCAGCCAUGCCGCGUGUAUGAAGAAGGCCUUCGGGUUGUAAAGUACUUUCAGCGGGGAGGAAGGGAGUAAAGUUAAUACCUUUACUCAUUGACGUUACCCGCAGAAGAAGCACCGGCUAACUCCGUG